Molecule: ribosomal RNA, 254 nt
Filed under: uncultured bacterium
Lineage: Bacteria
Description: partial 16S ribosomal RNA
Rfam family: Bacterial small subunit ribosomal RNA
Source: RNAcentral
UACAGAGGGUGCAAGCGUUGUUCGGAAUUAUUGGGCGUAAAGGGCGCGUAGGCGGCUGUACAAGUCAAAGGUGAAAUCCCUCGGCUCAACUGAGGAACUGCCUUUGAAACUGUACGCUUGAGGCCGGGAGGGGGUAGCGGAAUUCCCAAUGUAGCGGUGAAAUGCGUAGAUAUUGGGAGGAACACCAGUGGCGAAGGCGGCUACCUGGACCGGUUUCUGACGCUGAUGCGCGAAAGCGUGGGUAGCAAACAGGA